Molecule: ribosomal RNA, 253 nt
Filed under: uncultured bacterium
Lineage: Bacteria
Description: partial 16S ribosomal RNA
Rfam family: Bacterial small subunit ribosomal RNA
Source: RNAcentral
UACGGAGGAUCCAAGCGUUAUCCGGAAUCAUUGGGUUUAAAGGGUCCGUAGGUGGAUAAUUAAGUCAGAGGUGAAAUCCUGCAGCUCAACUGUAGAAUUGCCUUUGAUACUGGUUAUCUUGAAUUAUUGUGAAGUAGUUAGAAUAUGUAGUGUAGCGGUGAAAUGCAUAGAUAUUACAUAGAAUACCAAUUGCGAAGGCAGAUUACUAACAAUAUAUUGACACUGAUGGACGAAAGCGUGGGGAGCGAACAGG